UAGAUUUUAAGUUGCUUGCACGUGCAUAAAGCAUAAAAAUAUUUUAUUAAAUAAAAUUAGACAUUUCCUGUAAGGAACAUUCCAAAGUGCAUCUAAAACAUUCUGGGAAAUAAUACUUCCAGAGCUCUUGUGGACUUUACAAUUUCAAUUUUACUGAAGAUUACAGGUUACAUUCCCACCAUUACAUUGACAUUCCCACUGUUACUAUACUUGAAUAUAAAAAAAACAACACAGUAAUGCCUGUUUUCAUUAUGCAACAGUUCAGUCGUUUAAAUCUUACGCAGAAAUGUCUUAAACAAACAAUCAUUCACAUUUAUAACUUCACCAUUCUUUUAACAGUAAGAUAAUAACCAACAAGAUGAAAGAAUGUAACAAGCUAUCCAGUAGGAUUGAAGGUUAUAGAGAUGCAAUAAACAAUAAGACUGGAGUUUUAUAUGUACAAGUUAUCCUUUAAACCGAGAAUUGGUGGAAAUUUACUCAAUAAAUUGAAAUUUUAGGACAAAAUAGCCAAGCUCAAAGAGUA
Molecule: non-coding RNA, 523 nt
Organism: Pelobates cultripes (western spadefoot toad)
Lineage: Eukaryota; Metazoa; Chordata; Amphibia; Anura; Pelobatidae
Source: the annotation of a GenBank genome assembly